GAAAUGCGAUAAGUAAUGUGAAUUGCAGAAUUCAGUGAAUCAUCGAAUCUUUGAAUGCACCUUGUGCUCCUUGGUAUUCCUUGGAGCAUGCCUGUUUGAGUAUCAUGAAAUCUUCAAAGUAAAUCUUUUGUUAACUCAAUUGGUUUCUACUUUGGUAUUGGAGGUCUUUGCAGCUUCACACCUGCUCCUCUUUGUUCAUUAGCUGGAUCUCAGUGUUAUGCUUGGUUCCACUCGGCGUGAUAAGUUAUCUAUCGCUGAGGACACUGUAAAAGGUGGCCAAGGUAAAUGCAGAUGAACCGCUUCUAAUAGUCCAUUGACUUGGACAAUACUUUUAUGAUCUGAUCUCAAAUCAGGUAGGACUACCCGCUGAACUUAAGC
Molecule: unclassified non-coding RNA, 378 nt
Filed under: plant metagenome
Description: partial contains 5.8S ribosomal RNA, internal transcribed spacer 2, and large subunit ribosomal RNA
Rfam family: 5.8S ribosomal RNA (bases 1-105)
Source: RNAcentral